UCGAACGAAACUUUUUUUAUCACCGAGUGCUUGCACUCACCGAUAAAGAGUUGAGUGGCGAACGGGUGAGUAACACGUGGGCAACCUGCCCAAAAGAGGGGGAUAACACUUGGAAACAGGUGCUAAUACCGCAUAACCAUAGUUACCGCAUGGUAACUAUGUAAAAGGUGGCUAUGCUACCGCUUUUGGAUGGGCCCGCGGUGCAUUAGCUAGUUGGUGGGGUAAAGGCUUACCAAGGCAAUGAUGCGUAGCCGAACUGAGAGGUUGAUCGGCCACAUUGGGACUGAGACACGGCCCAAACUCCUACGGGAGGCAGCAGUAGGGAAUCUUCCACAAUGGGCGAAAGCCUGAUGGAGCAACGCCGCGUGGGUGAAGAAGGUCUUCGGAUCGUAAAACCCUGUUGUUAGAGAAGAAAGUGCGUGAGAGUAACUGUUCACGUUUCGACGGUAUCUAACCAGAAAGCCACGGCUAACUACGUGCCAGCAGCCGCGGUAAUACGUAGGUGGCAAGCGUUAUCCGGAUUUAUUGGGCGUAAAGGGAACGCAGGCGGUCUUUUAAGUCUGAUGUGAAAGCCUUCGGCUUAACCGGAGUAGUGCAUUGGAAACUGGGAGACUUGAGUGCAGAAGAGGAGAGUGGAACUCCAUGUGUAGCGGUGAAAUGCGUAGAUAUAUGGAGGAACACCAGUGGCGAAAGCGGCUCUCUGGUCUGUAACUGACGCUGAGGUUCGAAAGCGUGG
This 736-nucleotide ribosomal RNA is filed under the name uncultured bacterium. Its description in RNAcentral is "bacterial SSU rRNA". It matches the Rfam family "Bacterial small subunit ribosomal RNA", at positions 62 to 764 of the family's 1533-position model. The record is from RNAcentral.